This 504-nucleotide ribosomal RNA is filed under the name uncultured bacterium. RNAcentral describes it as "partial 16S ribosomal RNA". It matches the Rfam family "Bacterial small subunit ribosomal RNA", at positions 30 to 523 of the family's 1533-position model. The record is from RNAcentral.
AUUGAACGCUGGCGGCAGGCCUAACACAUGCAAGUCGAGCGGUAACACAGGGAGCUUGCUCCUGGGUGACGAGCGGCGGACGGGUGAGUAAUGUCUGGGAAACUGCCUGAUGGAGGGGGAUAACUACUGGAAACGGUAGCUAAUACCGCAUAAUGUCGCAAGACCAAAGAGGGGGACCUUCGGGCCUCUUGCCAUCAGAUGUGCCCAGAUGGGAUUAGCUAGUAGGUGGGGUAACGGCUCACCUAGGCGACGAUCCCUAGCUGGUCUGAGAGGAUAGCCAGCCACACUGGAACUGAGACACGGUCCAGACUCCUACGGGAGGCAGCAGUGGGGAAUAUUGCACAAUGGUCGCGAGCCUGAUGCAGCCAUGCCGCGUGUAUGAAGAAGGCCUUCGGGUUGUAAAGUACUUUCAGCGGGGAGGAAGGCGAUAAGGUUAAUAACCUUGUCGAUUGACGUUACCCGCAGAAGAAGCACCGGCUAACUCCGUGCCAGCCGCCGCCGUAA